Molecule: long non-coding RNA, 1254 nt
Organism: Tripterygium wilfordii
Lineage: Eukaryota; Viridiplantae; Streptophyta; Magnoliopsida; Celastrales; Celastraceae
Exons: 6
Source: RefSeq, a predicted model, not a curated record
AUUGCUACCAUUUACGAUUCUUCAAACGACUCUUCACAUCUCCUGCCCCAAUUCAUGCACCAGAGACGAGAUAGAUGAAUUAUUGCUACCGUUUACGAUUCUUCAAACGACUCUUCACAUCUCCUGCCCCGAUUCGUGCACCAGAGAUGAGAUAGAUGAAUUAUUGCUUCGAUUUGAGGGUCAUUUCCUCUUGCGGACUGUAUAAAUUCCUUUUUUCUUGAUUAGAUAUAGAUCGUCUGUUCUUCCUCCAUUGUCGUGAAACAAAGCGGGGUGCGUACAUCUAGAGGAUUUGUGCUAAUGUCAAGAUCAAAGCCGAAGUAAGUCGAUUUGAGGGUCUGUGUCUAGCCUUCUGCUUCCUCUAAGGUCCAGUACGCUUCUAAAGCCGUCGACAACAGCGGCGAUGCUUGAGGUAGACGAUUUUUGAGGUAGACGAGGUAAGCGAGGAGUUCGCUGCCAAGAGUACGUUUCGGAGCAAGGGAGCAAGCUGGGUUAUGCAUCAUUGAGCGUAAAACAAGGAUUAGUACACUUUCAUCUCUAGAAACAGCAGGAAAAACUUCGCCAUGCAUUUUCAUACAGCUGGAGGCUGUGGUCAUUGCCCGAUAUCAAACACUGCUAAAGGAAGCUGGAUUCCAAUCUGUCUACUUUUAACUUUGCCAAAUGCACUGGGAAAAUGAGGAGUACAGAAGGAUUUGGGGUCAAAAAGGACAUGAAGUACGAUGAGGUGAAAAGAUUUCCAUAAGAGGAUGCAUUGAAUGUAUAUAUUGUUGGUGUUACCAAUUAUUUGUAUUAUUCUGAUAUCUCUAAUAGGGUGCUGCACUGAUUUCAAUGACAAACAGAUCAACAGCAACUGUAGGCAUGAUUAGUUGAAUGUGAGCUAUUUACAUAAUAGAAUUUGUCAACUGCAGGGGAAAAAGUAUGCUUGGGUCUGUGGCCUUUCUGAACAAAUGGGAUUCUAUGGCAUAGGGAUUGCUUAUACUGUUACUUCUGCUAUUAGUAUGAGGUAUUUGUGUUGCCUAGAAUCUCAGUUUGGUAAUAAAUGAAAAAUUAACAAAUAAUCAUUUAGUAUUAAAUUUUAUUCUCUUUGAUGAAGAACAAUGCAACAAUCAAUUUGUUACCACAAAGAAGGGCACAUGCAUAUGAAAUUUAGAUGCAUAUUAGAUGCUAUAUUUAAGAAUUGUUCAAGUUAUGCUGUCACAAACACUGGAUUUUCCAUAACACUCAAUGGCUAUCGAUUGUUACUGCAAUCAUGUCAUU